GACGAACGCUGGCGGCGUGCUUAACACAUGCAAGUCGAACGGAAAGGCCCUGCUUUUGUGGGGUGCUCGAGUGGCGAACGGGUGAGUAACACGUGAGUAACCUGCCCUUGACUUUGGGAUAACUUCAGGAAACUGGGGCUAAUACCGGAUAGGAGCUCCUGCUGCAUGGUGGGGGUUGGAAAGUUUCGGCGGUUGGGGAUGGACUCGCGGCUUAUCAGCUUGUUGGUGGGGUAGUGGCUUACCAAGGCUUUGACGGGUAGCCGGCCUGAGAGGGUGACCGGCCCCAUGGGGCUGAGGGAACGCCCCGAACCCCUUGGGGGGGAAGGGGGGGGAAUAUUGCCAAAAGGGGCGGAGGCCUAGGUAAGAACCCCCGGUGCGGGAAAAACGCCUUUCGGGUGUGAACCCCUUUCGCCCUGGAACGACGCGGGAUGACGGGAAAUGGUAAAAAAGCCACGGCUAACUUCGUG
RNAcentral lists this ribosomal RNA (467 nucleotides) under uncultured bacterium. RNAcentral's name for it is "partial 16S ribosomal RNA". It matches the Rfam family "Bacterial small subunit ribosomal RNA", at positions 28 to 507 of the family's 1533-position model. The record is from RNAcentral.